UAUUGGUCAAUGGGCGGGAGCCUGAACCAGCCAAGUCGCGUGAGGGAUGACGGCCCUAUGGGUUGUAAACCUCUUUUGCCGGGGAGCAAAGUGCCGCACGUGUGCGGUUUGGAGAGUACCCGGAGAAAAAGCAUCGGCUAACUCCGUGCCAGCAGCCGCGGUAAUACGGAGGAUGCGAGCGUUAUCCGGAUUUAUUGGGUUUAAAGGGUGCGUAGGCGGACGCUUAAGUCAGCGGUAAAAUUGCGGGGCUCAACCUCGUCGAGCCGUUGAAACUGGGUGUCUUGAGUGGGCGAGAAGUACGCGGAAUGCGUGGUGUAGCGGUGAAAUGCAUAGAUAUCACGCAGAACUCCGAUUGCGAAGGCAGCGUACCGGCGCCCAACUGACGCUGAAGCACGAAGGCGUGGGUAUCGAACA
Molecule: ribosomal RNA, 414 nt
Filed under: uncultured bacterium
Lineage: Bacteria
Description: bacterial SSU rRNA
Rfam family: Bacterial small subunit ribosomal RNA
Source: RNAcentral